UACAGAGGGUGCGAGCGUUAAUCGGAAUUACUGGGCGUAAAGCGUGCGUAGACGGUUAUCUAAGUCGGAUGUGAAAGCCCCGGGCUCAACCUGGGAAUUGCAUUCGAGACUGAAUAGCUAGGGUACGGUAGAGGGAAGUGGAAUUUCCGGUGUAGCGGUGAAAUGCGUAGAGAUCAGCAGGAAUACCCGUGGCGAAGGCGGCCCCCUGGGCCGUACCUGACGCUGAGGCGCGAAGGCUAGGGGAGCGAACGGG
RNAcentral lists this ribosomal RNA (253 nucleotides) under uncultured bacterium. RNAcentral's name for it is "partial 16S ribosomal RNA". It matches the Rfam family "Bacterial small subunit ribosomal RNA", at positions 524 to 776 of the family's 1533-position model. The record is from RNAcentral.